AAUAAAGUAUCUGAAUUAAGUGGUGAUGUUACAGAGAAAACUAUUGAAUGUUUUGAUUAAAAUUGCUAUCCGUGUUUGUUUCAUGAAAAGUGAACCUUCUGCUGAACAAUGGAAUGUUCUCGCCCUGACAUGUUAACUGCCACUCAAUCUCUGAACCUUGUUUUUGCUUUGUUCAUAUUCGUCCCAGCUAGAGGACCAAUUCACAUAUUCUCUUCCACUCCUUGAAUGAACUAUGAUAGGACAAUCUGAAUAUAACCCUUCGUGUUGGCUACUCCCAAUUAAUAAACCAUUAAAACCUUUGAAAAAAACCAUUAAAAAUUCUUCCAUUUCUCAUUUUUUCUCUUUUUAUUUUAUUUGGUAAAUACUCAUAGAAUAACUAACAGUGAAAUUGUCUAAAUAUACUUUAAAAAUCAUCAACAUGUAAAGUUGAAUAGAAGCUUUCUCAAAAAAAAAAAGUUGAAUAGAAGUUAAAUUGUAUACAACAAUUCAUGUCCAAUAGUACUUUUACAUGUUGAUAUCUUAAUACUUUUAGAUUGUUUAAUCUGAAUUCAGUGAAAUACACAAAUUUGAGGCGACUGGUGAGCUAGAUUGAAAGCCGCAAAACUUCUUUUCUGCUACGAAUUUCUUUUCUUCCAACUUUCCUUUUCCUUGCUAACUUUCCAUUUUUGUUGACUUUCCAUUUAUAAAUGAGCCGAUUAAAAUUUAGGAAAGGCUAUGACAAGGUAAAUUUGUUUGCAGUUUGUAUUCGUGGCACUUUUUCCGUUAGGUUGAAUCAAUGACAAAAAAAAAGUAAGAAUAACUAUAGUUUUUAAAUAUCAACUUUUCAGCCAGUAGAUGGUUACACUGAUUUACUAACUCUAGUUUUAGUGCUGACUAUUAUAUUUUGUUUUCUUUAAACCACUGCAAAUAAUCGUCACGAAGAGCCUUACGGUCAUUGGGCCGUAUUAGAGGUUAGUUGCAACAUGAUACUACCAAGCGUUUCAACUAGCAUUUGGCGCUUGCGUAAAGACUCCACUAAAAAGAGGAGCUAAUUGAUUACUCUUUUAAUUGAGGGAAUAAAAAAACUAUAUGCAUGCAAACAAAAUAUGAGACCGAGGCCAACAUUAGUGGUAAGAAAUUACAAUGGGUCUCUCAAAACAUGUUUUAAUAAUAAUAAAAUAUUUCAAAAUGUGACAGAUUUAAUAAAAGUAUCUUAACAAGAGACGUUGAUAUCUACGGGAAGAAUCGAUUAACACCUUCUUUCCUCUUUUUACUUACUUUUUUGUUUUGUUUUACUAUUUUAAUUAUGAGAGACUUGUGGAUGUGUAUCUACACGACUAGCUUCAACAUUAAUGUUUACAUUUUUUUGCUAACGAAUGUAAAAAGUCAACAUUAUACCUUCUUUUCUUAUUGUUCUAAAAUACCAUACUUUUUUUUGCUAAAAGAAGAUACCAUACUUCUUUUUUACCUCAAUUUUGUAUAUCUGUGGGAUACCAGUUGAUUUAAUACUUUACGAUACUUCAUUGAUGUAAUGUGUAGCUUUUGGUUUGGCCAUGCUCUCCCAUGAGAUCCAAGCCAUCUUCUUGGUUUCCUCGUUGCUAUCCCACCAGUAUCGGGUUACUGCGGAUUGAAUCCGUUUGCACAGAGAUACCGGUAGACUAAAGCAGGACAUAGGGUAGGAGGGCAUGGCAGAGAGAACACUCUGCAGGAGUACUAGCUUCCCCGCCGCAGACAGGUACUUGUUCGAUCGACCUCUCGCUUUCUGCUUUAUCUUAUCAACUAAUGAGGAGAAGAGAUCUUUUUUCUUGCGCCCAAAAUGCUCAGGAAGACCCAAGUAUUUUCCCACACCUCCUUCCUUUUCAAUUAGUAAUGCGCCCUUGACCAUUUCUUUUAGCGAAGCUGGAGCUUUCCUUGAGAAAGUGAUAGCGGAUUUUUCUUUGCUGAUCGAUUGCCCUGAUGCCUGUUCGUACUGGCUGAGGAUGGUUUUGAGGGAUGCACAAUUCUCCUUGUUGGCUUGGAGGAAGAACAUUGUAUCGUCCGCAAAGAAGCGAUGAGUAAUCCGAGGGCAUCCUCGUGCUACUUGAAGGCCUUGGAGGAGACCUUCUUCUUGCGCUCUGUUACAUAAUCCCGAGAGCACCUCGCUACACAUAAUAAAUAUGUAGGGGGAGAGAGGGUCUCCUUGACGGAUACCUCUGCUCGGUACUACCUUCCCUCUAGGCAAGCCGUUAAUGAGGAAGGAGUAUGAUACAGAUGUGAUACAAUGCAUUAUGCAUCGGACCAGGUUCUGAUGGAAGCCCAGGCGGGUUAGCACCAGCGAGAUGAACUCCCAUUCGAGGCGGUCGUAGGCCUUACUCAUAUCAGUCUUGACCGCCAUAGCACAUCUCUGUGCCGCUUUGGACGUCUUAAGGUAGUGGAGUACCUCAUGAGUGAUAAGCACAUUGUCUCCGAUCGCUCGGCCAGGGACGAAAGCCGAUUGAUUCUCCGAGAUCAGCUUCUCCAUCAUUGGUUGGAAGCGUCGGGUAAGGAUCUUAGAAAAGAUCUUGUAGUAGACAUUACAAAGUGCUAUUGGUCUGUAGUCGGAGACUUUUUGAGGCUGGGAGAUCUUCGGGAUCAGCCGGAUAUGAGUGUCAUUAAUUCCACUCAGGAAGGGGGCGGCGCCACGGAAAAAUUCUUGCACCUCGCGGACAAUAUCAGGACCUAUGUCCGUCCAAUGUGUGUGGAAGAAUCCCGCCGAGAAUCCAUCGGGUCCCGGUGCCUUGUCCGCAUGAAUAGAGAAAGCUGCUUCCCUUAUUUCAGCUGCUGAUGGUAUCCCAAUAAGUAUUUGAUUCUCAGCAUCUGAAACAAUUGGGUGGAGAGCCCUCCGAACAGUUUCCUCUCUAUCUCCCGGGAGUGAGGUGAACAAGUUUUGGAAGUAGUCACCUAUGACCGAGACAAUCUCAUCCUCUUUAUGCACCGUUUGGCCAUCAUCCUUCUCUAUCACCGAGAAUCCGUUAGCUCGUUUUCUUGACUUUGUUAUCGCAUGAAAAUAGCCAGUAUUCCUGUCCCCCAACUUAAGCCAUAGGAGGCGACUCCGUUGUUUCCAGUAUUCUUCUUCCGCAAGGUAAGCUGCGUUGAGUGUCUCAGAGAUGUUUUGAAUGAGAGCGGUAUCAUUCACAGAGCUUGAAAGGGCCUCAUUUAGCUCCCAUUUCUUUUGUUCUAUCACUUGCUGACUAUUGCGCUGCUGUGAUUUAUUCCACUCUGAAAUAGCAGAACGAGCUGAGCUGAGUUUCGAGGAGACCGUGGCCGUUGGGUUCCCACGCCAGGACUCAGAUAUGAUGCGCUUUGCCUCGUCAUUUUUACACAGUCUUCUAUCAUAUCGGAAGAUUCCUCUUCGUCGUCUCCUCCCUUGAUCAAAUAUAGAAAUCAGAGGCUUAUGGUCAGAACUUUCGAAGCCAAGAUAUUCACAUCUCGCUGUUGGGAAGCAUUAAGCCCAGUGCGUGUUCGACACUGCUCUGUCCAGCCUACAUCUCACGAGAUGAUCACCUCGUUUCCCUCGCCAGGACAAGAAGUCCCCCGAAUGUUGGAGGUCAAAGAGAUCAUUGGGAUUUUUGGAUUCCAUAAUGAAGAUAAUAUCAGGAUCAUAUUUCUUUGAUAUCUCUCCUAGGCGUCGAACUGUCCGGGGAUUCCCCAACCCUUGACAGUUCCAGCUCGCCAUCGCUAAGGAGCGGGGAGGGAUGGAGUCCGAAAAUCCAUCCUUCGUCUGGUAGAGCGUGGAACGAGGUUGAUGAUUGGGGCGUGAUCUGAAGCUGUGCUACCAGUCGGGCGCUGAGCAGCUCGAGAUGUUUCACCCUUCUUUGAUUUACCAAUCUUUUUUCCUUUUGAUGUUCCCGCGUUUGUUGACAUAUCCUUUCUGCGAAUAGGGGACGGUUUUGAGCGGGAGGUAGUUCGCCUUGGCGGAACAGCAGCCACCAGACCUUUAGAUUUUUCCUGUCUUGUCUUUUUCCCCGGGGGACGACCCGGUUUGCGUUUAGCUGCGGAUAGGUGAGGAAGGUCAGUUUCAUCAUCUAUCGCCUCGGCUGAAGAGAUAGGUCCCAGGCGUUGAAUUGCUGGAAUGCGGUCAGGACUGCGGUCCAGAGACAGAAGACUCUGAUCUUCAUAUCUCUCACUUUCAUUUGGAGGAGGGCCGAGUCUUAGAGUUGCCGGUAGUCUGUCUCGACUUUCUGAGUUUUGAUCAUUUGUGUUCUCCUCAGCAUUGGCAGCUAUUAUUUGAGAGGCUGGUCCUAUCCUCUUACUGGAUGAUCGACGUUCGUGGGAACGAGAUUCAGAGUGUUGAGCAUCCAGAUUAGUUCUAGAAGUACGAAGAGCAAUACGUAAGGCAGUUUCUUCUAGUUGUCCACGUUCCUCUGCUUGCUUUGCUCUUUCAAUUCUGACUUCUCUUUCUGAGGGGUCGGUACACUUAGUAUACUGCAGAAGAGCAUGUUUUGCCUCGCCUCUAGCCUCUUCCAAUAUCUUCUCAGAGAAGUGAGUUGGGUCCCUAGCCCGGGGAAUCCCCCUUUCGGAUGACCCAUUAAUCUGUUUUGGUGAGGCUGAAGUGGCUUCUCCGGUUCCUGAUCGUUCCUUAGGAAUCUCUCGAUAAUAGCUUCUGCUCGGGGGAGCCGGAGGGUGCCUCUGGUGGGCGUUUCCCCGGAAAGACAGAGGAGGAUGUUCCCGAUAUCUUCGCGAUCGAUCGUCAUUUCUAUAGGUACGUCGCUGAUUAGAUCUAUUCUCCCAAUCUUUUGGGUUGGAUUUGUAAACUCUGUGCUCUGGUUUAUCACGUCUACCUUUCGAGGCAAGUCUAGAGUUUUCAUCACCAUUGUUAGAAGCAGAGAAGUGGUAAGGGGGGGCGCUCUGGUGGCUUUUUCCUUUGGCAUUCGGAUCAUUAUGAGCAGAGGAAGCAGAGAUUCCUCUUGUAGGAAUAGCACUCUGAUUCGCAAGAGUCAUGUCUUUACCACUUCCUUCCCCUUGGGCUGAUUGUAAAGCCUUUUCCUCCGCUCUAGCCACCAGGCAUUCUUUAAGCUCGUGGUCGAGUCUGAGGCAUUUAGAGCAAUGCUUAUCCAGACGUUCGUAGAGUAGUGUGGUAGUAACCGAAUCACCAUUCGGAAAAUCGACCACAGAUGUUUUGAUUAGAGGUAGCAAGCCAUCAAUGUGAACCCUCAUCCUCGCUGAUAGGGGGGUUAUAUCGGAUUUUUCAUAGAGGCCAAUGUCUUCUCCAAUGACCCUGAUGAUGGGCUCUGUCCACAGGUGAACCGGGAGUCCUUGCACUUUGACCUAAAAAGGAAUCAGAGACGGGAAGUUUGGGGAGACAGUGGGCUCCCAUCGCUGGAGGAUUACCAUCCAUCGCGCAUAGUGGUAUGGCCUUUGAUCUAGAACAGCGAGCAAGUCUGAUUCCAAUUCAAACUGAAAUUGGAAGAGGCCAUUACCCAAGUCAGCUCCUAUUGGCUUGAAUUCAGUCUUCCAGUGCUCUGUGAAAAAUGGUAUAAGAGACCACACUUUUUGGAUGGAUUUAUUAGUGACUCUCCCAAUAAGCGUUAGAGAAUGCUUUCGCAGCAGUUCUGAGUUGUCUGGUAAGGGAGCUUUGACACGGGCCAACCGGGGAGGUUGCUGAGAGCUCAGAUCAAUUCCUUUCCCCUUUUCAGCCGACGAAAUUCUUCGAUGAGCCAUGAUUCUCGCAAGUGAGAAAGAUUUACUGUCAGCUGCCAGUUACUUGUGAGUGAAGUAGCGUCUACAGGCCACAGGGAUUCCCCCAACGCCGAGAGGUUAUGAAGAGUAAAAUGAAAAGGAGAUUUGCUUGUUCUGCUUCGAGAAGGUAAAUGAAAUAGAGCGAUUCAGCUGUCUUAAAGGGAAGACGUAAGAUGUCGGUACCAGGAAUCCCCAGUUCGACAUUCAGAGAUUCGAUUAGGAACUACAGAGAAUCCUCUGUGAGUUUCUCGAGACAAUGGAGGGGUUGUAGCGAGACCAGCGUGAGAGACAGGGGAACUCCAUUAAAGUUUCUAUCGUCGGUGGGAACGAGUUCAGCGGUGGUCGGCGGGCCCGUCGACCGGAGUCGCAGGCAGAACCCGGUGAGAGUUCUCCAAGAGCUGUCUUUGGACUGCUAGAUAAUUCCCAAAGAGGGAAUAAUUUGAAUUGGCAGAGAGGUGAAAAGAAGUCUGCACCAAUCAGAGACAAAGGACCGAGGGAUAACAGGAAGGAGUAUCCGUGGGACCGCUGACUAAGGACCUAUCUCGCAAAGAGCGUCUGGGAGAGAAAAUAUUUUCCCUUUCUCUUUUUUUUAGCCAAAUAUACAUUAUUAAGAAUAUAUGAGUAUGUAUGAUAAAGCAUUCAUAUAUAAAUCCACCUAGAAUAAAAUAUGGAAUAAGGACAAAACAUAUAUAGGAAUAUGGACAAACAGAGGAACUGUAUUAAAGGAAAUAUUUAGAUGAAAAGUUUGGUUGUGGUACGAUAAAUUAUAAUAUGGGGUCCAAUUUUAAAAUCCACCUAGAAGAAGUUGUGAUGUUUCUAAUUUAAUUAAUAAGAUAGAUAUUUUGGACAAUACUUCCAAUAUACAUUAUUUUGGGUCUGUUAUAUACACUUACUAAAAAUAACGGACGGUGAGAAGGAAACAAAACCCUAAGAAAAUCUUUAAUUUGGAUAUAAAAAAAGGAGUUAAGUACAGAGGGUAAGGUUCGAACACCUACAACUUUUGAAAAAUACGCUACUACUCAACGCAGACCACUACACCAAGGAGAUUAAAUUGCUCCGGAUGCCUCUCGAAUCAAUAUAACAACUUUUUCGGCUCCAGGGCCAGAGACCUCUAUAAGUAGACAUCUUCGUAACUUGGGAAUGGCAUAAAAGAAAAAAAACAUCAUUCUCUCUCAGUCGCUCUAUCACACAAAAUGCUGUCUCUGCGAUCAAUCUCCGCUGUUCUAAUGUCGCUCCUUCUCCUGUCUGCCACGGCAGGUCAAGCUUUCUAUUUCUUCUUCUUUUUUUGAUCAACGGCUCUCUGUUUCUUCUCUUUUUGGUCUUUGAUACGUUCUUUUUAAAAAAAUUCGUCAAAUCUGUGCAUUCGUUACAAUCUGUAGAGCUCCAAAUAUUCAACAGCAAAUUCCUUUUGUUUAACUUUUAUUUUCUUACAUUUCAGUUAAUAUUUAUUUAUUCCCCAUGCUGUUUUAUCAGCUUAUAAGCUACAAUUUUUUUUUAAUUUUGUUGUCAACAGGUAUGAUCCAGACCGGGCCCGCUCCAGUGAAAUCUCCCGUCGACCAUACCGGUCCAAAAUGGGUUCUUCCACCGGUGCCUUGCACCCAGGAAGAUUGUGGCUUCGUUUGCAGGCACAACGAUUUGCUUCCUUUUGGAUGUCCAGGCGUCAACUGUUACUGUCUCCAGAAUCCAUAAAUAAUUGUUGUACGAGUUUGUCUACAAAAAUUAUCCAAGUUUGAUGAAAUAAAGUAUCUGAAUUAAGUGGUGAUGUUACAGAGAAAACUAUUGAAUGUUUUGAUUAAAAUUGCUAUCCGUGUUUGUUUCAUGAAAAGUGAACCUUCUGCUGAACAAUGGAAUGUUCUCGCCCUGACAUGUUAACUGCCACUCAAUCUCUGAACCUUGUUUUUGCUUUGUUCAUAUUCGUCCCAGCUAGAGGACCAAUUCACAUAUUCUCUUCC
Molecule: long non-coding RNA, 7628 nt
Filed under: Brassica napus (rape)
Lineage: Eukaryota; Viridiplantae; Streptophyta; Magnoliopsida; Brassicales; Brassicaceae
Description: long non-coding RNA (BNAP_LNC018504)
Source: RNAcentral